This 478-nucleotide long non-coding RNA is filed under the name Brassica rapa (field mustard). Its description in RNAcentral is "long non-coding RNA (BRAP_LNC007381)". Lineage: Eukaryota; Viridiplantae; Streptophyta; Magnoliopsida; Brassicales; Brassicaceae. The record is from RNAcentral.
GCUUCACCGCCGUCGAUUCGAAACUCGUCGUCGUCGGCGGCGGAUUUAACGAUUCGGUGCAAGGGUGGAUUGCGUCGAAUUCGACGGCAGCGAUGAGUAUUUCUCUUGUCUCACGCCUCCGAUGAAUAUUUGAUUGCGCACUGUGCCUCCUACUUCCAAGCUCCAAUCCCAGGUUCGCAUCUCCGGCUAUCCCAUCCUUUUCGUUUAUUAAUGUAUAUGAUUUUCCGUUUUAGCUUUUAGUUUCUUAAAUUUAGUUUAGCGAGUUAGAGAUGGGUAGAUGGAUUAUCGAGGCCAGCGACAUAACAAAAAAUAGUUGUGGCACACAUUAUAAAACUUAGUAGCACAUACUAUAUAACUCUAGCAACGUGUUGAAUCAUCUUUAACCGGUUCAAAACAGUUGAUUAAUUAUCUUGAUCUCCACGGCUUGGUCCUCUUCAUUGUCCGUAUUUAAAUGACCCUCUAAAUCCUCAUGUGAUAA